Molecule: ribosomal RNA, 256 nt
Filed under: uncultured Gardnerella sp.
Lineage: Bacteria; Bacillati; Actinomycetota; Actinomycetes; Bifidobacteriales; Bifidobacteriaceae
Description: partial 16S ribosomal RNA
Rfam family: Bacterial small subunit ribosomal RNA
Source: RNAcentral
CGAACGGGUGAGUAAUGCGUGACCAACCUGCCCCAUGCUCCAGAAUAGCUCUUGGAAACGGGUGGUAAUGCUGGAUGCUCCAACUUGACGCAUGUCUUGUUGGGAAAGUGUUUAGUGGCAUGGGACGGGGUCGCGUCCUAUCAGCUUGUAGGCGGGGUAAUGGCCCACCUAGGCUUCGACGGGUAGCCGGCCUGAGAGGGCGGACGGCCACAUUGGGACUGAGAUACGGCCCAGACUCCUACGGGAGGCAGCAGGC